This 732-nucleotide ribosomal RNA is filed under the name Staphylococcus succinus subsp. succinus. Its description in RNAcentral is "bacterial SSU rRNA". It matches the Rfam family "Bacterial small subunit ribosomal RNA", at positions 40 to 755 of the family's 1533-position model. The record is from RNAcentral. Lineage: Bacteria; Bacillati; Bacillota; Bacilli; Caryophanales; Staphylococcaceae.
CGGGAUGCGGCGUCUAUUGCAGUCGAGCGACAGAUAAGGAGCUUGCUCCUUUGAAGUUAGCGGCGGACGGGUGAGUAACACGUGGGUAACCUACCUAUAAGACUGGAAUAACUUCGGGAAACCGGAGCUAAUGCCGGAUAACAUAUAGAACCGCAUGGUUCUAUAGUGAAAGAUGGUUUUGCUAUCACUUAUAGAUGGACCCGCGCCGUAUUAGCUAGUUGGUAAGGUAAUGGCUUACCAAGGCGACGAUACGUAGCCGACCUGAGAGGGUGAUCGGCCACACUGGAACUGAGACACGGUCCAGACUCCUACGGGAGGCAGCAGUAGGGAAUCUUCCGCAAUGGGCGAAAGCCUGACGGAGCAACGCCGCGUGAGUGAUGAAGGUUUUCGGAUCGUAAAACUCUGUUAUUAGGGAAGAACAAAUGCGUAAGUAACUGUGCGCAUCUUGACGGUACCUAAUCAGAAAGCCACGGCUAACUACGUGCCAGCAGCCGCGGUAAUACGUAGGUGGCAAGCGUUAUCCGGAAUUAUUGGGCGUAAAGCGCGCGUAGGCGGUUUCUUAAGUCUGAUGUGAAAGCCCACGGCUCAACCGUGGAGGGUCAUUGGAAACUGGGAAACUUGAGUGCAGAAGAGGAAAGUGGAAUUCCAUGUGUAGCGGUGAAAUGCGCAGAGAUAUGGAGGAACACCAGUGGCGAAGGCGACUUUCUGGUCUGUAACUGACGCUGAUGUGCG